Long non-coding RNA from Hippocampus zosterae (dwarf seahorse), 4301 nucleotides. RefSeq lists it as uncharacterized. The transcript has 2 exons. The record is from RefSeq and is a predicted model, not a curated record. Lineage: Eukaryota; Metazoa; Chordata; Actinopteri; Syngnathiformes; Syngnathidae.
AUGGUUAACGUUUAAAUGUGCCUUCAAAAUAAGAUACACCACAAACACAAAAUGCAUAAAAAUAAGACUCACCAUCGCUAUAUAUUGUGCAGAAUGGACUUGGUGCAUCGGUAUCUUCCGUUGAGAUAAGUCUGUAUUUUAAGUAGGACUCCUGAUACUGUCUAUUAAAUGUAGCCUUCUUGUUCUUGAAAGUCAUAGGCUACUAUUCUGUCUUCUGGCUGGGCCGUUUGCCAUUCCCAAAGAAAAAUUCCAAAGACGUUUGUUUUUUUACUCAUUUUGCUAUCUGCUGGACCUCUUUUUAGCGGUAACCUGUCACGUGACCGAAAGCGUCCCUUGACCUGCGUUGAGAAUGACAUACUGUAUGUAGACGGAUGUAACAUAAAAUCUGGUAAUUUUUCCAAAUAAAACAGAUUCGGAAAUAAAUAAAACGCAAGUAAUGUAAAUGAUGUAUUCGUUCUGUGCGGCCCGGUACCAAAUGAGCCACGGAACGGUACCUGAAAGGGAUCACUGUCCUAGAGUACCAUAUUUUCUUUCGAGUAAAAAGAAUGAAGCCAUUUGAGCAUUUUCUCAAUUUCCUUCAUAUCCAGUUUAAGGCCCAUACACGAGUACACUUUGCCCUCACUAGUCAAAAAUUCAGUGCAUUAUUAAAAUAAUAAAGGUGCACUAGGAGAAUGACUGUUUUUGUUGUUGUUGUUUUUCCACUACUAAUUAAUGCCUGUUUUGUCCCACUGCAAUGGAAUUAAACCCUACUAGCAAACAUCUGUGUGUCACAAAAAACACUACUAUAGGCCCAAUUCGGAGCAGUUUGUCACGCAAUAGUAGCCUCCUGGUAAUUUUGCUUCACUCGUAACAUAGUUGUCUAAACAAUAAGUCAAAGUUGCCUUACAAGUGUGCAGACAUAUCCCACUGUUGAAGAGGGAAAAAAAUCAAAAUAGUCAUUCUACUAGUUUGCUGAAAUGUCUUACGAGAGCGGACAAAGAAGCAGUUAGAUCAAUUAUUAAGUGUAAAUAUGCUUCAAUCCUGUUAUUGAGGUCUUUGAAAGCAUUUUUUAAAUGAUGCUUUCCAAAUACUUAUUUUUGCACUGUUCAGUCUUUCAGUCAUUUUUUUUGUUUAGCUACUUUUUCCCCCUUUAUUUUGCUUUAAAUGGCUAUGACUAUUUGAUUGGUAAAUGCUUUUAAAUGUUGUGCUUUUUAUGAGAAGCACACGUGAGUUACUUUUCUAUAUAAAUAAAGUUGUCUCGUCUCACUACAGCAUAACAAUUCAGAGCACUGCUAUAAUGAGUGAUGACACAACUGCACAGUUUUGCCUCGCUAGUAACAUAGUUGUUCUAAUCAUGUGUAGCAAUGUCAUACAGUAAUGGAAAAAUACAUUGUGAAUAAAACUAGUAGUACAGUGAAUAGUAUGCCCUAGUCAUUCGACUAGUGUACUAAAUUGCCUUACUGGUAAGGACAAACAGCAUACUAGUACUGUACAUGGAUCUUAAGGUAGAUCGCAAAAAGCGAUAUGCUCCAAUAGCUUGAUCCCUCGGAGACCAUUCUAUGCAAAUUAUCAUGCGCUACAUUUUAACGAUGCCCUAAGAUGUUAUUAAAUGAUAUGACAGCAUUUUUAAAGCAAGCACACGCCAGUAGAUGUACACACAUACAUACUAACAGCCUCAUGAAAGCACAGUAACACACAUUAGCAAUGCAACACACAGUUUAAUCCUCUCAUUUGUCUUUGUUUGCCUCCGUGCGCUCAUUUAGCCAUAUCCAUCACAUUUUCCCUCCUCGACGCAAUACGAAAAGCGCAAUUCAGUCCCAUGGGACCGGAGGGGAAGCUGAAGAGAAUAUCUGAUGGAGAAAGACGCUGAUGAAUAUUUCAUGUGGCACUUAUGAGACGCGCGUCUUGUCGGGUAGACCCUCAAGUCCGCAUGGCCGCCCGCUACCGUGUCAUCGUCCAUCACAAGAUUUCAGACGGUUAACACUCUCAUUCAUUUUUAAGCAGCAAUGUGGAAGGGGGCGGGGGGGGGGGGGGGGGCUGAAGGAAGAGAAGAGAGUAGGUCAACCUGGUGACCUCUGCUAUAAAAAGUGUUUUGCAUGAAUCGAUAGGGAAUUUUGAAGAGGCAGUGACCCGUCAACAUUAUCUUAUUCCUUAAAAAUACAUUUGAAAACUGUCAGGGCAGGAUAUCUUGUUUUUGUUCCUCUUGGACAUUUUGUGGUUCCUAAAAGAAAAUGGUUCAUCUAUUUUGUGAACGUGCAUGUAUGUGUGUGUGUGGGAGAGAGCGAGAGAGAAAAAGAGAGAGAGAAACUGAAUGACCAGAUAAUCUUAAAUAUGUUGUGAAGCUAGCUGAAGACAAAAAGAAGUUGAAUUUAGGUGAUAUAUCAUGUGUUUUAAUGCAACAACAAGCUGUCGAGUGAUAACAGCCGGAGGGGAGGACCAUGGAAGAGUGUUCUCAGAUAGAAGCAUAGGCUGUGUGUAAAUUGGCACGCUCAGGACAGAAAAGUUUUGGGGGGAGAAAUGAGGAAUGGACAGUAAAAUGAGGAACGGACAGUAAAAUGUCGGGCAUGUGUUGAUGGGGAUUAAGUCCAAUCGGUGUCUGCAGCUUGACGAAACCAGAAGUUCAAAAAAAAAAUCCUGCACGCUACUAAGUCAGCUCAAAUCAUUUCUGCUGCAAUAGGAUGUUUGCUGGCAAUUUGGCCUUGACCGCUAUAAAGGGGUUUGGCAAAUACUGUUGUUGUGUUUGUCUCUGGAACAGAAUCAAUUUGAGGAACAGCAUAGGUCACAUUAUAGUUGGAGAAAUUCACCUCAUGGGUACUGUGUCCAAGCAGAAAAGUAGGUCACGAUAAUAAGGGUACAUUGAAUAUUACGAGGGAAAUGUGACUUUUAAUAACCAGAGGCAGACUUAGAAUAAGGCAAACACAGGCAAUCGCCUUGGGCAUGAGAUUUGCAGAGGCCUGCAAACUUCUCCUAAAAGGACAUUAAUGACAUCUUGGAUUUAAAGUGAUUAUUACUGUUUUAGACACCUACUUAAAAACAUGAACAUGCUAAUUUAAUAAAUGUGGUCAUUUUGAGUGCUUCCCUCCUCUCAUCUUGGCAAUGGACCAUUGCAUCUUUGUUCGAGGUGUUCAUUUAUCAGAUCAUUAUGAAACCGAAUUGAAGGUAUAAAUGGUAGAAAUUGUGAAAAUGCUGCAGCAUUUGGUUGUGUUAGCUUGAGUGUUGAUUUUGUCUACCAUAGUUUAUUUUAUUAUAUUUGAUGUUUUUUUAAAUUUGUUCUAUUAAUUUAGUUUGUUGGUUAAUUGGAGCCUUUAAUGUUAUCUUGCUUAAUAUGUACUGUAUAUGUACAGCAUGUUACUGUUUAAAUGUUGAGUUUUACAAGAUUAUUAUACACACAUAUAUAAAUGAAGCCUUAAUUUUGAUUGACAAAAAUGAUCCAGAGAAGAUGUGUUUUGUUUUACUACCUUUUACUCCUUUGUUAACGUAUAAACUGUUCCAAAGGAUGCCAUGUAGUGCCAUCUUUUCUGUUUAUAUCUUUCUUGGUUCAAAUAAACAAUCAGUGGAACAGACAAGGCGAGAAGAAAACAUUCUGAUUCACACGAGUAAAGGUUUUUACAAAAUAUCCAUAAUCAACAAUGGAAGAGCCUGAAGCCCUUGCCAGUUGCAGUAUUAAAUCAAACGCUGGAGGGCUUAACUGGGGCUACACAGAUUUCUGAUGGAGCUAAAGCCCCCCUUAGCCACAGUGUAGUGCCAUCACUACGGAGGACCACAUGACUGGGUAUGCCUGGGUUUCUCAAAUGGCUACCGGUAAUUAUCCCGGCUAAUACUAAUCUUCAUUUCAAGUAUACAGUAUAUGAAGCACAAGUAAAGUAACAGAGCCCCCUAGCUGCUAAAAAAAAAAAACCUGAAUGUCCAUACUGUAUUAGAUAAAAAAUGUUUUUGGAAAGUGCUUUUCCCAAUGAAUGUCCAUAUUUCCUAAGGAUCCGCAUAAAAUAAAACACCCGUGUUGAUCGCAAGAGUAAAUAAGUUCUAUUUAAAGAACUAUAUAACUAUAUGUUGUGUGUCCAAACAAUGAAUUGAGGUUCGACGGGGACUUUCACAAUCCGUACAGGGAUUUUUCACCUUUACAGAUGUUAUUUAGAAUUAAUAGCACUCAGUGGCGGGCCGUGCAUUUCAACCUUAGGCCUUCAGUGACGUCACAUACAUUAACACAAUGCAGUAUAGGCUUGUCAAGCAGCACUUAAUUUCAGGAGCAUUUAAAGCCAUCAAGUAUGCAUUCACAAUUAAGAGCAGGAAACUAAAUUUAUAGAUAUUGUCAAAAAUAAAAA